This 154-nucleotide ribosomal RNA is filed under the name Barleria obtusa. RNAcentral describes it as "5.8S ribosomal RNA". The record is from RNAcentral. Lineage: Eukaryota; Viridiplantae; Streptophyta; Magnoliopsida; Lamiales; Acanthaceae.
AAUCCCGUGAACCAUCCAGUCUUUUAACGCAAGUUGCGCCCGAAACCUUCCGGCUGAAGGCACGCCUGCCUGGGCGUCACGCAUCCCGUCCCCCCCCNNNNNNGAGGGGUGUGCGGAGAUUGGCCUCCCGUGCGCCUCGGCGCGCGGCCGGCCC